ACACCUCAACCCUCCAAUGUUUUUGCAUUGAAGGUGUUGGUAGUGAGCGCUGCCGGACUUUUGGUCGGCUCGCUUUAAAAUCGCUUUAAAAUCAUUAGCUGGAUCCAUUCUGACCUGGUUCUACUCGGCGUAAUAAGUUAUUAUCGUCGAGGACGCUUGUCUUUUUAGGCAGGCGGCCACAGUAAGGGUGUUUGAACCGCUUCCAACACGUCUUGCUCUUGUAGCAAACACUUGAAC
RNAcentral lists this unclassified non-coding RNA (237 nucleotides) under uncultured Geminibasidium. Its description in RNAcentral is "sequence contains ITS2". Lineage: Eukaryota; Fungi; Basidiomycota; Geminibasidiomycetes; Geminibasidiales; Geminibasidiaceae. The record is from RNAcentral.